UGACGGUACUUGACUAAGAAGCCCCGGCUAACUACGUGCCAGCAGCCGCGGUAAUACGUAGGGGGCAAGCGUUAUCCGGAUUUACUGGGUGUAAAGGGAGCGUAGACGGAAUUGCAAGUCUGAUGUGAAAGGCUGGGGCUCAACCCCGGGACUGCAUUGGAAACUGUGAUUCUUGAGUGCCGGAGGGGUAAGCGGAAUUCCUGGUGUAGCGGUGAAAUGCGUAGAUAUCAGGAGGAACACCGGUGGCGAAGGCGGCUUACUGGACGGCAACUGACGUUGAGGCUCGAAGGCGUGGGGAGCAAACAGGAUUAGAUACCCUG
RNAcentral lists this ribosomal RNA (320 nucleotides) under uncultured bacterium. RNAcentral's name for it is "bacterial SSU rRNA". It matches the Rfam family "Bacterial small subunit ribosomal RNA", at positions 470 to 789 of the family's 1533-position model. The record is from RNAcentral.